UACGUAGGGUGCGAGCGUUGUCCGGAAUUAUUGGGCGUAAAGAGCUUGUGGGCGGUCUGUCGCGUCUGCUGUGAAAAUCCGGGGCUCAACCCCGGACUUGCAGUGGGUACGGGCAGACUAGAGUGUGGUAGGGGAGACUGGAAUUCCUGGUGUAGCGGUGAAAUGCGCAGAUAUCAGGAGGAACACCGAUGGCGAAGGCAGGUCUCUGGGCCACUACUGACGCUGAGAAGCGAAAGCAUGGGGAGCAAACAGG
RNAcentral lists this ribosomal RNA (253 nucleotides) under uncultured bacterium. Its description in RNAcentral is "partial 16S ribosomal RNA". It matches the Rfam family "Bacterial small subunit ribosomal RNA", at positions 524 to 776 of the family's 1533-position model. The record is from RNAcentral.